GUGGCUCAGUGGUAGAGCGCUUGCCUUACAAGCAUGAGGCCCUGGGUUUGAUUCCUCAGC
RNAcentral lists this transfer RNA (60 nucleotides) under Dipodomys ordii (Ord's kangaroo rat). It matches the Rfam family "tRNA", at positions 7 to 64 of the family's 71-position model. Rfam says of the family: Transfer RNA (tRNA) molecules are approximately 80 nucleotides in length. Lineage: Eukaryota; Metazoa; Chordata; Mammalia; Rodentia; Heteromyidae. The record is from Rfam by way of RNAcentral.